Molecule: non-coding RNA, 148 nt
Filed under: Chlorocebus sabaeus (green monkey)
Lineage: Eukaryota; Metazoa; Chordata; Mammalia; Primates; Cercopithecidae
Source: Rfam by way of RNAcentral
GCCAGGUGUGGCGGUGCACACUUGUAAUCCUAGUUACUCUGGAGGCUGAGGCAUGAGAAUCGCUUGAACCCAGGAGGUCGGGGCUGCAAUGAGCCGAGACCGUGCCACUGCAUUCCAGCCUGGGCAACAGAGCAAGACUGUGUCUCAA